GCCUAUGGCCAUGUCACCCUGAACAAACCCAAUCCCAUCUAACCAGGCCCAACUAAGCAGAGUUGGGCCUGGUUAGUACUUGGAUGGGAGACCAAGUGCUAUAAGAG
This 107-nucleotide ribosomal RNA is filed under the name Pteropus alecto (black flying fox). The record is from RNAcentral. Lineage: Eukaryota; Metazoa; Chordata; Mammalia; Chiroptera; Pteropodidae.